This 321-nucleotide unclassified non-coding RNA is filed under the name uncultured fungus. RNAcentral's name for it is "partial contains small subunit ribosomal RNA, internal transcribed spacer 1, and 5.8S ribosomal RNA". The stretch from base 1 to 73 matches the Rfam family "Eukaryotic small subunit ribosomal RNA", at positions 1759 to 1831 of the family's 1831-position model. Lineage: Eukaryota; Fungi. The record is from RNAcentral.
ACAAACUUGGUCAUUUAGAGGAAGUAAAAGUCGUAACAAGGUUUCCGUAGGUGAACCUGCGGAAGGAUCAUUACCGAGUGAGGGUCUCUGCACAGAGGCUCAACCUCCUUAAACCCUUUGUCUACUUGACCUCAAAAUGUUGCUUCGGCGGGCCCGUCGUGAAAAUCGACCGCCGGAAGACCUGUGGCUAGGUCUCUGGCCCGCGCCCGUCGAUGGCCCAAUCACAAAAUAUUUGUUAAACGUGUCGUCUGAAGUCUUGAAAAUAAAUUAAAAACUUUCAACAACGGAUCUCUUGGUUCUGGCAUCGAUGAAGAACGCAGC